This 324-nucleotide ribosomal RNA is filed under the name uncultured cyanobacterium. RNAcentral's name for it is "bacterial SSU rRNA". It matches the Rfam family "Bacterial small subunit ribosomal RNA", at positions 49 to 400 of the family's 1533-position model. The record is from RNAcentral. Lineage: Bacteria; Bacillati; Cyanobacteriota.
UUACACAUGCAAGUCGUACGAGAGUUUUUAACUCAAGUGGCGGACGGGUGAGUAACACGUAAGAAUUUGCCUCUAGGAGGGGGAUAACAACUGGAAACGGUUGCUAAUACCCCAUAUGCUUUCGAGUGAAAUGGAUUUCCGCCUAGAGAGAAGCUUGCGGCUGAUUAGCUUGUUGGUGAGGUAAUGGCUCACCAAGGCGACGAUCAGUAUCUGGUUUGAGAGGACGAUCAGACACACUGGAACUGAGACACGGUCCAGACUCCUACGGGAGGCAGCAGUGGGGAAUUUUCGCCAACGGGGCAAAUCCCGACGGAGCAAUACCGC